GCAAGUCGAACGGUAACAGCAGAGCUUGCUCUGGCUGACGAGUGGCGGCCGGGUGAUUAAUAUAUCUGAAUCUGCCUAGUAGUGGGGGACAACGUAUGUAAACGUACGCUCAUACCGCAUACGCCCUUCGGGGGAAAACGGGGGACCUUCGGGCCUCGUGCUAUUAGAUGAGCCUAUAUCCAAUUAGCUAGUUGGCGGGGUAAGAGCCCACCAAGGCGACGAUUGGUAGCUGGUUUGAGAGGAUGAGC
RNAcentral lists this ribosomal RNA (248 nucleotides) under uncultured bacterium. RNAcentral's name for it is "partial 16S ribosomal RNA". It matches the Rfam family "Bacterial small subunit ribosomal RNA", at positions 57 to 305 of the family's 1533-position model. The record is from RNAcentral.